CACAGAGGUGCUUGCUCCUUGGGUGACGAGUGGCGGACGGGUGAGUAAUGUCUGGGAAUCUGCCCGAUGGAGGGGGAUAACUACUGGAAACGGUAGCUAAUACCGCAUAACGUCGCAAGACCAAAGAGGGGGACCUUCGGGCCUCUUGCCAUCGGAUGUGCCCAGAUGGGAUUAGCUAGUAGGUGGGGUAAUGGCUCACCUAGGCGACGAUCCCUAGCUGGUCUGAGAGGAUGACCAGCCACACUGGAACUGAGACACGGUCCAGACUCCUACGGGAGGCAGCAGUGGGGAAUAUUGCACUAUGGGUGCAGCCUGAUGCAGCCAUGCCGCGAUGUAUGAAGAAUGCCUUUCGGGUUUGUAAAGUACUUCAGCGAGGAGGAAGGGGUUGUGGUUAAUAACCGCAAGGAUUGUCGUUACUUUGCAGAGAAAGCACCGGCUAACUUCCGUGCCAGCAGUCGCGGUAAUACGGGGGGUGCAAGCGUUAAUCGGGAAUUACUGGGCGUAAAGCGCACGCAGGCGGUCUGUCAAGUCGAAUGUAAAAUCCCCGGGCUCAAACCUGGGAACUGCAUCCGAAACUGGCAGGCUAGAGUCUUGUAGAGGGGGGUAGAAUUCCAGGUGUAGCGGUGAAAUGCGUAGAGAUCUGGAGGAAUACCGGUGGCGAAGGCGGCCCCCUGGACAAAGACUGACGCUCAGGUGCGAAAGCGUGGGGAGCAAACAGGAUUAGAUACCCUGGUAGUCCACGCCGUAAACGAUGUCGACUUGGAGGUUGUGCCCUUGAGGCGUGGCUUCCGGAGCUAACGCG
Molecule: ribosomal RNA, 802 nt
Filed under: uncultured bacterium
Lineage: Bacteria
Description: bacterial SSU rRNA
Rfam family: Bacterial small subunit ribosomal RNA
Source: RNAcentral